GGGGUGAGCAAGCAGAGGUGAGCCAGCAGGGGUAACCUGCUCGCAUCCCCUUCCACGCUGUGGAAGCUUUGUUCUUCUGCUUUUUGCUAUAAAUCUUGCUGCAGCUCACUCUCUGGGUGGGGCUGCCUUUAUGAGCUGUGAGUUGUAACACUCACCGCAGAGGUCUGCAGCUUCACUCCUGAGGCCAGUGAGACCAUGAACCCACCGGAGGGAAUGAGCAACUCCAGACACACUGCCUUUAAGAACUGUAACACUCGGUUUGAGAGUCCGUGGCUUCAUUCUUGAAGUCAGCAAGACCAAGAACCCACAAAUUCCAGACACAUAAUGACCAUAGCAACUUAAUCAGAACUCAUCAGUUCCACAGAUUCCAUAAAAGUUAACUCCAGAGCAGAGAAUGAUGCCACAGUCGGGAUAACAUCCAAUAUUUGCAAUCAGAAGAAAUAUGAGAGUCUUGCUCCAUCACCCAGGCUGCAGUGCAGUGGCACGAUCUUGGCUCACUGCAAGCUCCACCUCCCGGGUUCACGCCAUUCUCCUGCCUCAGCCUCCCAAGUAGCUGGGACUACAGGCGCCCACCACCACGCCCAGCUAAAUUUUUUUGUAUUUUUAGUAGAGAUGGGGUUUCACUGUGUUAGCCAGGAUGGUCUCGAUUUCCUGACCUCGUGAUCUGCCUGCCUCGGCCUCCCAAAGUGCUGGGAUUACAGGCGUGAGCCACUGUGCCCGGCCGUAAUUAUUCUUUUCGUGUUAAGCAAUGGUAAAAGAACUGACUGAAAAUAAGAAUAUUAAAAAGUUUCUCUGCUAAAAACAGAAAA
Molecule: long non-coding RNA, 809 nt
Organism: Homo sapiens (human)
Lineage: Eukaryota; Metazoa; Chordata; Mammalia; Primates; Hominidae
Source: Ensembl